GUAUUAAGAUGAAUGAGUUGAAGGGGCAAAACGUGCCAACACUUAUUUCUUCAUCUUAAAUCUCAUCUAACCUUUGGGAAAUUAUAUUGGAGGAGCAAAGGUUACAGCAACUAUACCUUACGUGAAAAGCAUCACUUUUGGAUACAUUUUGAGAGCUAAUUACGUUCAGCAAACCUCCACUUGAGGGAGACUAUUCUUUUUCACUUUGGGAUGAAGCAGCAAAAAUGUGAUUUCCAAGUGACUUUUGUAGCACGUCACUUGCAAUUGCAAAGAAUGAAAGUAUAAUUCUUUCCAAGGACGACAUACGGGUUUAGCAUACCGCUUUGAUCUCAUUGUUCCUUUUUGUCGCAUUAUUAAUUCGGGCUUUCUUCAAAGUGAAGUAAGGUGGAAGAAGAGUAGUUGUUGGCAUAUGAGAUUGGUAAAGCUCGAGACCUAAGUUAUGGUUAAAUUGACAAGCGACAAGGUACAGAUACUCGAGUUGGUGACCCUCCAGCUUAGGACUACUACUCAGCUGUCUUGGAGAGCUCCAUUGCUUCGGAGCCUAGACUUUUGGUGCAGAUCUUUUGAUGUGUAUAUAUAUGGUUAUGCAGGGGUACGGCGGGGCCCUGUCCCGUCAUAUUUCACUAUCGAUACUCUUAGAGGUCUGUAGACAUAUGUGUGGGUUGUGUAUAAGUUUGGUUCAGCUGUGUCUAUACGAUGUGCUAUGGAUAUGUUCGUCUGUAGUGGCAGCCUUGUCGGCUUACGUAUAGUAUUGACAUGUAGUGGCAGCCUUGUCGGCUUGUGUAUCAUAUUAUGUUUUGAUUAGUUGUGAUUCCUCAGGAGACAGGUUAUAUGGAUAUAUAUAU
This is a long non-coding RNA of Lycium barbarum (goji berry), 845 nucleotides long. RefSeq lists it as uncharacterized. The record is from RefSeq and is a predicted model, not a curated record. NCBI's taxonomy places the organism in Eukaryota, Viridiplantae, Streptophyta, Magnoliopsida, Solanales, Solanaceae. The transcript has 3 exons.